GGUUUGGCGGUGAUGGAUGGGGAUGCGUCUGAUUAGCUUGUUGGCGGUAACGGCCACCAGGCUACGAUCAGUAGGGUUCUGAGAGGAAGGUCCCCCACAUUGGAACUGAGACACGGUCCAAACUCCUACGGGAGGCAGCAGUGAGGAAUAUUGGUCAAUGGGCGAGAGCCUGAACCAGCCAAGUAGCGUGCAGGAUGACGGUCCCUAUGGGUUGUAAACUGCUUUUACGCGGGGAUAAAGUGCGUGACGUGUCGCGCAUCGCAGGUACCGCGUGAAUAAGGACCGGGCUAAUUCCGUGCCAGCAGCCGCGGUAAAU
RNAcentral lists this ribosomal RNA (316 nucleotides) under uncultured Prevotella sp. RNAcentral's name for it is "bacterial SSU rRNA". It matches the Rfam family "Bacterial small subunit ribosomal RNA", at positions 209 to 525 of the family's 1533-position model. Lineage: Bacteria; Pseudomonadati; Bacteroidota; Bacteroidia; Bacteroidales; Prevotellaceae. The record is from RNAcentral.